AAAGGCAAAUCUUUGUAGCAGGCUAUCAGUUCCUUGUUAGUGUGCAAGUCAGGCUGAAUGGUUUCCCAGACCUUUUUCUUAGGGUUAAGAACGUCAUCAGGGUCGCCUUCAAAGCCAGAAAAGGUCAAUCUUUCUCCAACAGGUGCAGAUUGUGGUGGAUCAACCAAUUCAACCUGAACACCAGAAUCAUAAUAUCGUUAUAAAGUCAAGUAAUACAUGGAUCCCCUCAGGCUCCAGGACUGAUGCCCAAUAGUAUAAAAUAACAAUUAUUCCAAAUACAUUUAUCCAAUGAUAGUAAGCCCCUCGUAAGCUAUACAGCAGUAAUGGAGUGAAACAUCAAAUUAAAUUGUAGUAAAUUGUUUACACAAAUAACGAAGAAACAAAAUUUGAUAGAAAUUUGAAGUCCAUUCUACAAAAUGAUUCUCGAAUUUCGAUUUAGGGAUCUACUUUUUCCAGAUUCAAUGGCAAUGACAGACUUUCCAGCAAAGAAGUGAUGUAAAAAUAUGAAAUCAAAUUUCACAGGAGCAACAUCCUAUAGGCUAUAUUCAUAAUGCAUAAAAGGACACUUUGUGUGAAUAUAAAUAGGAGUAUAUAAUGAACUGAAUACAUAAACAGAACAGAAAUUACCUUAGAGUGAUCAGCAUUUGAAACAGCAAGAACCAUAGCAUGUGACUUGAUACCCCUCAUGGUUGCAGGCUUCAAAUUGCAAAGAACACAUACCUUACGGUUCUGGCAAAAAACAGUCAUCUCAAAUAAGAUUCAAACGACAAAUAUCAUAAAUUAGAUAAUGAAUUGAGUGAUAUAUAUAAUAUACAAGCAUGUCCGGGUGUGGAUGUACAAAUAUCAAUGUGCACGGAUAAGAGAAGGUUGGAGAAUAAACCUGCAUUUCUUCAAGAGGAAUAAAUUUAACAAGUCCGCUCACAACUGUUCGAGGUUGACCCUCGCCCACAUCAAUUUCUUCAACAUAUAAGGAAUCGGCAUCAGGAUGCUUCUGAACCUUUGUGAUGAGACCAACACGGAUAUCAAGCCUACUUAUGGAGAUUUCUUGUUCAGCUGCCUUGGGUUUAUUUUCGGAAGCAGAUUUUUUGGUUCGUUCUUUUUUUACAUUUCCAUCUGUGAAAAUUGUAGAAAAGAGUUAUCAUAGUGUAUAUUUAUGUGGGUGUGUGUUGGUGCAACACUAACAGACAUUUAGCUAUAAUAACCAAGAAUAUUGCAGUGAAAGAAUAAAUAUACCAAAUGAAGCAUAAUGCUCUGAAGAAGACUGUAUAAGGAUUAGAGCAAUUACAAUAAAAGGUUUGCAAAUAAAAAAAAGUAAAACAGAGGAUCUANAUAUUGUGCUAUAAUCCUAUUAACUCUGCGACAUUUUUUUAAGAAUCCGCACAAAAUCAAAAUCACAUACAAUCCAUGAAAAUCCAUGGACUAUAAACAAUCCAUUAAAAUCCCAAUCGAAUACACCCCCGUAAAUAUUAUUAUCAAGAAAAUGUCUAAGAUAUUAUUUUAUAAUUUUAAAUACUAGAUCGUGUUCAUACUUUUUUACUUUAUAAUUCAAGAUCAUGUCAAAUUAAGUUUUUCCAAAACGUGUAUUGUUUUGAACCCCUGCACAUUAUUUCAUGUGGUGUUUAAUUCUAAAACGUCAAAUGAUAUUAUAUUUUAUAAUGAAUUUUAGACCUUAACACAAUAUGUAUUGAUGUAACAUCCUCUGAAUAAGAAUUAAAAUGUUGAAUUUCACCGUUAACAAGUGAUAUUUUGAGUCAUUUUUCUUAUGAUCUUAUCGUGUUGAUGAAUCAAGUGAGAUCAAGCAACAGACUUGCAAAGUUAUAAAGCAGUGGCAUCUGACUAAGUUCAGCGAAUAAACCGGGUACCAGUGAGCUAAAUGUCAAUAACAAGAAGUCAAAAAAUAUAACCAGCUGAUAUAAUGAUUUCUGAAGUCUGGUAACUCAUAUUAGCUCUAUUAAAAAUUUCACAAGCACAAAAGAUAACAUACAAAAUUCAAAUGUGCACAAUUCUUAUAAAGCAUUAGACAAUUUACAGAUGACAAAAUCAUCUGAAAAAUGUUGCUGGUAACAAUAUAGUAUAGGGCAACCCCGAUCAGAAAAUCUUAACUUUGCUAAAACAUUCGGGCCAAGAUGCUCCAGCUUUUCUGUAGACAUAUCUAUCGUAUUGAUCCAUCAGAUAUUGACGAGACCUUGCAAACUCCGACUGAUGUAGUGAAAGGCAAAUCUUUGUAGCAGGCUAUCAGUUCCUUGUUAGUGUGCAAGUCAGGCUGAAUGGUUUCCCAGACCUUUUUCUUAGGGUUAAGAACGUCAUCAGGGUCGCCUUCAAAGCCAGAAAAGGUCAAUCUUUCUCCAACAGGUGCAGAUUGUGGUGGAUCAACCAAUUCAACCUGAACACCAGAAUCAUAAUAUCGUUAUAAAGUCAAGUAAUACAUGGAUCCCCUCAGGCUCCAGGACUGAUGCCCAAUAGUAUAAAAUAACAAUUAUUCCAAAUACAUUUAUCCAAUGAUAGUAAGCCCCUCGUAAGCUAUACAGCAGUAAUGGAGUGAAACAUCAAAU
RNAcentral lists this long non-coding RNA (2552 nucleotides) under Daucus carota (carrot). Its description in RNAcentral is "long non-coding RNA (DCAR_LNC005923)". Lineage: Eukaryota; Viridiplantae; Streptophyta; Magnoliopsida; Apiales; Apiaceae. The record is from RNAcentral.